Molecule: ribosomal RNA, 484 nt
Filed under: uncultured bacterium
Lineage: Bacteria
Description: partial 16S ribosomal RNA
Rfam family: Bacterial small subunit ribosomal RNA
Source: RNAcentral
AUUGAACGCUGGCGGCAGGCCUAACACAUGCAAGUCGAGCGGAUGAAGGGAGCUUGCAUCUGGAUUCAGCGGCGGACGGGUGAGUAAUGCCUAGGAAUCUGCCUGGUAGUGGGGGAUAACGUCCGGAAACGGGCGCUAAUACCGCAUACGUCCUGAGGGAGAAAGUGGGGGAUCUUCGGACCUCACGCUAUCAGAUGAGCCUAGGUCGGAUUAGCUAGUUGGUGGGGUAAAGGCCUACCAAGGCGACGAUCCGUAACUGGUCUGAGAGGAUGAUCAGUCACACUGGAACGGGGACCCGGUCCAGACUCCUACGGGAGGCAGCAGUGGGGAAUAUUGGACAAUGGGCGAAAGCCUGAUCCAGCCAUGCCGCGUGUGUGAAGAAGGUCUUCGGAUUGUAAAGCACUUUAAGUUGGGAGGAAGGGCAGUAAGUUAAUACCUUGCUGUUUUGACGUUACUAACAGAAUAAGCACCGGCUAACUUCGUG